GUAUAGCAGAGUGGUAAGCGUUUCGGACUCGCAUUCUGAAGGUCCUGCGUUCGAACCCUAG
Molecule: transfer RNA, 61 nt
Filed under: Eutreptiella gymnastica
Lineage: Eukaryota; Euglenozoa; Euglenophyceae; Eutreptiales; Eutreptiaceae
Source: RNAcentral